Molecule: ribosomal RNA, 500 nt
Filed under: uncultured bacterium
Lineage: Bacteria
Description: partial 16S ribosomal RNA
Rfam family: Bacterial small subunit ribosomal RNA
Source: RNAcentral
AUUGAACGCUGGCGGAAUGCUUUACACAUGCAAGUCGAACGGCAGCACGGACUUCGGUCUGGUGGCGAGUGGCGAACGGGUGAGUAAUGUAUCGGAAUGUGCCCAGUCGUGGGGGAUAACGUAGUGAAAAUUACGCUAAUACCGCAUACGAUCUAUGGAUGAAAGCGGGGGAUCGCAAGACCUCGCGCGGUUGGAGCGGCCGAUAUCAGAUUAGGUAGUUGGUGGGGUAAAGGCUCACCAAGCCAACGAUCUGUAGCUGGUCUGAGAGGACGACCAGCCACACUGGAACUGAGACACGUUCCAGACUACUACGGGAGGCAGCAGUGGGGAAUUUUGGACAAUGGACGCAAGUCUGAUCCAGCCAUUCCGCGUGCAGGAUGAAGGCCCUCGGGUUGUAAACUGCUUUUGUACAGAACGAAAAGGUUUCUACUAAUACUAGGAGCUCAUGACGGUACUGUAAGAAUAAGCACCGGCUAACUACGUGCCAGCCGCCGCAGUAA